RNAcentral lists this ribosomal RNA (1003 nucleotides) under Salmonella enterica subsp. enterica serovar Typhimurium. Its description in RNAcentral is "partial 23S ribosomal RNA". It matches the Rfam family "Bacterial large subunit ribosomal RNA", at positions 1 to 1035 of the family's 2925-position model. The record is from RNAcentral. Lineage: Bacteria; Pseudomonadati; Pseudomonadota; Gammaproteobacteria; Enterobacterales; Enterobacteriaceae.
GGGUUGUGAGGUUAAGCGACUAAGCGUACACGGUGGAUGCCCUGGCAGUCAGAGGCGAUGAAGGACGUGCUAAUCUGCGAUAAGCGCCGGUAAGGUGAUAUGAACCGUUAUAACCGGCGAUUUCCGAAUGGGGAAACCCAGUGUGACUCGUCACACUAUCAUUAACUGAAUCCAUAGGUUAAUGAGGCGAACCGGGGGAACUGAAACAUCUAAGUACCCCGAGGAAAAGAAAUCAACCGAGAUUCCCCCAGUAGCGGCGAGCGAACGGGGAGGAGCCCAGAGCCUGAAUCAGCAUGUGUGUUAGUGGAAGCGUCUGGAAAGGCGCGCGAUACAGGGUGACAGCCCCGUACACAAAAGCGCAUGUGCUGUGAGCUCGAUGAGUAGGGCGGGACACGUGGUAUCCUGUCUGAAUAUGGGGGGACCAUCCUCCAAGGCUAAAUACUCCUGACUGACCGAUAGUGAACCAGUACCGUGAGGGAAAGGCGAAAAGAACCCCGGCGAGGGGAGUGAAAAAGAACCUGAAACCGUGUACGUACAAGCAGUGGGAGCACCCUUCGGGGUGUGACUGCGUACCUUUUGUAUAAUGGGUCAGCGACUUAUAUUCUGUAGCAAGGUUAACCGUAUAGGGGAGCCGGAGGGAAACCGAGUCUUAAUUGGGCGUUAAGUUGCAGGGUAUAGACCCGAAACCCGGUGAUCUAGCCAUGGGCAGGUUGAAGGUUGGGUAACACUAACUGGAGGACCGAACCGACUAAUGUUGAAAAAUUAGCGGAUGACCUGUGGCUGGGGGUGAAAGGCCAAUCAAACCGGGAGAUAGCUGGUUCUCCCCGAAAGCUAUUUAGGUAGCGCCUCGUGAAUUCAUCUCCGGGGGUAGAGCACUGUUUCGGCUAGGGGGCCAUCCCGGCUUACCAACCCGAUGCAAACUGCGAAUACCGGAGAAUGUUAUCACGGGAGACACACGGCGGGUGCUAACGUCCGUCGUGAAGAGGGAAACAACCCAGACCGC